This is a long non-coding RNA of Lotus japonicus, 1143 nucleotides long. RefSeq lists it as uncharacterized. Lineage: Eukaryota; Viridiplantae; Streptophyta; Magnoliopsida; Fabales; Fabaceae. The record is from RefSeq and is a predicted model, not a curated record. The transcript has 3 exons.
AAAUCCACAUAUUUUCACGCCAGAAAUAAUUCUAGCUUGAAUUUCCUCUCAUAGCUUCUGCCUACCUGGAAUUCUGUGUCAUCAUUGUUCCAAAUAGACUAUAAUAUCUAUCCCUAACCCCAGCCAGCUGUUGCCCUUAGAUCUUUAUCUAUCUAAUAAUUCAUGAUGGCCUUUGCCUUGAACUUUUUGUUCGUUUUUUGUUCUGUUACUUUCUUCCUUUAAUCCACUUUAUAAUUCCUUAAGUCCUUGUAGAAAUAUAAAUUAGUAAUCUAGCUUUAUCUUUUUUGGUUUUUUGUUUGAAUUAUCAAUUUUUCAUGCAUUAGUCUGUCAAAAAAAAAGUGUUAGUAUGAUACUGUGAGUCUGUGACUUUCUAUUGUUGCUUGUCAAAUUAGACUCAGUUAAUUUGGUAAAAAGCAAAAGAGAGAAGGAGAAGAAUCUUUCAGCCGUAUAAACUAUAAAGGGGUGCCUGUUACUGGAUUCAGCUUCCUAAAUCCUAAUGAUGUAAGCUUUGUGGGCUAGAAUGUGUACACCAUGGCAUGUGCUGCAAAACCCUCAUUUUUAGGUUUUGAGCUCCGAGCUGUUGGAGGAAUUGCACGCUUUGCAGUCUAAAGCUGCUCAGGAAACUAAUGGUAGCAAAGCAAAAGAAAAGGCCUGGCUCUUUCUCAUUAUGAUUUUUUUCAUUUCAAUAACCAGUAAGUGGUUUUGUCAUGUGAACCCCUUUACUGCAUAUUCAACACAAAAGAGAAACAUUUUUGUAUAUUGGAUCAAGGUAUUGUAAUAGCUAGUACUAGUCUAUGGACAUGCUUCUUUUUCUUUUAUGUUAAAGUUUCUUUUCUUUUUUGGAGUGGGGGAAGGGGUGUCUAAGUUGAUUUAGUGUGUUUAGAUACCAGUUGUGAGUGCAAUGGGAAAAUUUAUGUUUACAUUUUGUCUCAGAAUAAGUGCUAAUGUUCGUUUGCCUUGGUGUCAACAGAUAUCCAAACAUAUAUAGGUUGCAAAGAUUUGGGAACACAUAUACAUACUCUGAUACAUAUCUAUGGUCAUGAUUUAUGACAAAGGAGACUCAACAGGAAGGAAAAUCUUCAGGGGGAGGAAGCAAGCAUUCAGAUGCUGCAGAACCAUCUUUCACAAUGAAAGCCAUGGCAA